UAAAGUAGUAAUAGUUAAGAUCUUGAAACUUAAAAAAUUUGGCGGUAUUUUAGUCUAUUCAGAGGAACUUGUUUUAUAAUCGAUAAUCCACGAUGGACCUUACUUAAUUUUGUUAACAGUUUAUAUACCGUCGUUAUUAGAAUAUUUUAUAAGAAAUUUUAAUUUUCUAAAUUUUUAAAAAUAAAAAUAUAUCAGAUCAAGGUUUAGCUUAUGUUUAAGUAAAAAUGAGUUACAAUAAAAUUAUUUAAAUGAAUAUAAAUUUGAAAUGUUUGUUGAAGGUGGAUUUGAUAGUAAAUUUAUAUAGAUAAAUAAU
RNAcentral lists this ribosomal RNA (313 nucleotides) under Exorista hyalipennis. RNAcentral's name for it is "partial 12S rRNA". Lineage: Eukaryota; Metazoa; Arthropoda; Insecta; Diptera; Tachinidae. The record is from RNAcentral.